GACGAACGCUGGCGGCGUGCUUAACACAUGCAAGUCGAACGGAAAGGCCCUGCUUUUGUGGGGUGCUCGAGUGGCGAACGGGUGAGUAACACGUGAGUAACCUGCCCUUGACUUUGGGAUAACUUCAGGAAACUGGGGCUAAUACCGGAUAGGAGCUCCUGCCGCAUGGUGGGGGUUGGAAAGUUUCGGCGGUUGGGGAUGGACUCGCGGCUUAUCAGCUUGUUGGCGGGGUAGUGGCUUACCAAGGCUUUGACGGGUAGCCGGCCUGAGAGGGUGACCGGCCACAUUGGGACUGAGAUACGGCCCAGACUCCUACGGGAGGCAGCAGUGGGGAAUAUUGCACAAUGGGCGGAAGCCUGAUGCAGCAACGCCGCGUGCGGGAUGACGGCCUUCGGGUUGUAAACCGCUUUCGCCUGUGACGAAGCGUGAGUGACGGUAAUGGGUAAAGAAGCACCGGCUAACUACGUG
RNAcentral lists this ribosomal RNA (468 nucleotides) under uncultured bacterium. Its description in RNAcentral is "partial 16S ribosomal RNA". It matches the Rfam family "Bacterial small subunit ribosomal RNA", at positions 28 to 507 of the family's 1533-position model. The record is from RNAcentral.